AAGGCUAUGCUUUCAGGGGUCAUUUCUCUAGUUGAUGACUGGAGAAGGGUGGCUGUAAAAGCCUGGUCUUGCUAACCACAAUGAGGAGCUCUAGUGUUUUUUUCUGAGCAUGACAAUGGCUGAGAGUGCUGUUCUGGGGCAGCUGCUUUCUGCUGUGGAAGAGUAUCUUGCUCUUCCAGAGCAGGGGAAGGAAACACAAUCUGAGUGGU
Chelonia mydas (Green sea turtle) is the source of this 209-nucleotide non-coding RNA. The record is from Rfam. Lineage: Eukaryota; Metazoa; Chordata; Testudines; Cheloniidae.